CGAUAAGAAUCUACCAGCAUUAUGCGAUGCUCACUCUAGGGAGUCUCAGAGUCCGGAGUACACAAUGCUGAUGUCUUUUGCAUAAUGAAUAAGGAAACCUAAUGGGUUUACAUCUGGAGACAUGGCCACCAUAAUACUUUAAGCAGACGGAAGAUGAGAGGAGGAGAUGGAAGACCUUAACUAUCACAUAAAGUAACAAAAUGAAUUAGGCUCCGACAUGAUGAUGGGCCCCUAUCAGUGAAACUUCCACUUCCAGUGGAAGCGCGGAAGUAAUUGAGUUAAAUAUGCACAAGAUGACAGCAUUAAUUAUGCGCAGACCGAGUCAAAGGAAGGGAGAGGGAAACGACGGGAAUAAUGAGGGAAAAGAGUUAAAUGUGGUUUUUUGUUGUGGCAACCAUAUGCCGAAAGUAUAUAAAAAUGCAACAAAAAGAUAAGUAUAAUAAUAAAAUGAACCCAGUUACAGUUUCAGACCAAA
This is a long non-coding RNA of Drosophila innubila, 475 nucleotides long. RefSeq lists it as uncharacterized. The record is from RefSeq and is a predicted model, not a curated record. NCBI's taxonomy places the organism in Eukaryota, Metazoa, Arthropoda, Insecta, Diptera, Drosophilidae. The transcript has 2 exons.